GACGAACGCUGGCGGCGUGCUUAACACAUGCAAGUCGAACGGAAAGGCCCUGCUUGCAGGGUACUCGAGUGGCGAACGGGUGAGUAACACGUGGGUGAUCUGCCCUGCACUUCGGGAUAAGCUUGGGAAACUGGGUCUAAUACCGGAUAGGAGCCAUCUUUAGUGUGGUGGUUGGAAAGUUUUUUCGGUGUAGGAUGAGCUCGCGGCCUAUCAGCUUGUUGGUGGGGUAAGGCCUACCAAGGCGGCGACGGGUAGCCGGCCUGAGAGGGUGUACGGCCACAUUGGGACUGAGAUACGGCCCAGACUCCUACGGGAGGCAGCAGUGGGGAAUAUUGCACAAUGGGCGCAAGCCUGAUGCAGCGACGCCGCGUGGGGGAUGAAGGCCUUCGGGUUGUAAACUCCUUUCGCUAGGGACGAAGCUUUUUUGUGACGGUACCUAGAGAAGAAGCACCGGCUAACUACGUG
RNAcentral lists this ribosomal RNA (465 nucleotides) under uncultured bacterium. RNAcentral's name for it is "partial 16S ribosomal RNA". It matches the Rfam family "Bacterial small subunit ribosomal RNA", at positions 28 to 507 of the family's 1533-position model. The record is from RNAcentral.